RNAcentral lists this ribosomal RNA (305 nucleotides) under uncultured bacterium. RNAcentral's name for it is "bacterial SSU rRNA". It matches the Rfam family "Bacterial small subunit ribosomal RNA", at positions 338 to 635 of the family's 1533-position model. The record is from RNAcentral.
CCUACGGGGGGCAGCAGUAGGGAAUCUUCCACAAUGGACGAAAGUCUGAUGGAGCAACGCCGCGUGAGUGAAGAAGGGUUUCGGCUCGUAAAGCUCUGUUGGUAGUGAAGAAAGAUAGAGGUAGUAACUGGCCUUUAUUUGACGGUAAUUACUUAGAAAGUCACGGCUAACUACGUGCCAGCAGCCGCGGUAAUACGUAGGUGGCAAGCGUUGUCCGGAUUUAUUGGGCGUAAAGCGAGUGCAGGCGGAUCCAUAAGGCUGAUUUUGAAGCCUUCUGCUCAACCCGGGCAUUUCAUCAGAAACAG